UGCUGUCUCACACCAUGGUCAACGAAGGGCUUAGUACCCAUUCGCCACCACUGCACUCAGCAGCACCCCCAAGGAGAAGAGACUCAUCUCUCAGCACAAGUCCCCCACCCUGAGCCUGACACAGGCAGGGUCUCAACAAGCAUCUACUGAAGCCGUGAAUGAACCAAUGGUCUCCGAAUAUGAGCAGCUGUCUCCUCAAAGCCUGCCCUUCACCACAGUCCAUUUCUGACAAACAGAUGGGGGGGCAGGCCUCUGGGGAGAGGGGCCCUUCCCAGCUGCAGGCAAAAUGCGGGCCAGUCCCUCCUGGCACGGACCCACAGGAGAGAAUGAGUUGACAAAAGCGAGCCUGUGGCCUGCACAGACGUCUGCUGGGAUGUGGGCAGCAGAAGCUGGCGACUGCAGGCCUGAGGUGGGGGCAGGGAAAGGGGCUGCCGGGCAUAAGGACAGUCCCCGGAGGACAGGACCCUCAGAGGCCACACUGAGCCCAGGAAUCCUCCUCGGUCCUCAGUCCUCCAGGCUCCACCCUAGGGAAGCUCUUGGGUGACAGGCCUAACUGAGGGAGCUGUGCGGUUUGCUGGGAGUUGGGGGAGCCUGGGCUUCCCCGCUCCUUCAUAGGCAGCCCAGGGGCCCUGCAGACCUCUACUCCACCAGAAGUAAAAGAGAAGCCAACUGGUUAUAGGAGCAAGGUUGGUGGGGUCUCUCUCCAAACAUGGGAGGAACCCUGAAUCUCAUCUUCCACCAAAAGACACAAAAGGUCCUACCACCUGGCAGUACCCACCUCAGAGUGUGGGGGGCCCAAGGCCAUGCUAAAGAAACUGGGAAAUAGGGCCGGGAAUUUGGCUCAGUGGUUCUCCCACCUGCCUGGCAAGCACAAGGGCUCAAGUUUGAUCCCCAGUACCAUUAAAAAAAAAAAGAAAGAAAGAAAGAAACUGGGAAAGAGGGACAGAUCUGGUGCAGCCCACAAGCCCUGUCUUUAAGUUGCCCUCUCUUCCCCAAGAGCUGCCCCUGAAGAACACCCUGAUUCUCCAAACCAAAGUGCAAAGGGGGUGGAGGGGAAGAUGGCGGACAGGGAUAGGACACCUACUCUGCUGCCGGGCCACUCUGCUAUGGGGUUAAGCAGGUAGUUUUCUGUCUCCUCACUUAGUCUUGCCCCUACCCCCAGCCCUCAAAUCCACCAUGACUGAAACAAGGUCACUCCUUCCUAGUUCCAGCCCCAGGCCAGGUACAUAUGUGCAUUAUUAUUCUCUUACUAGCUCUUUGAGGCAGGAGCUGAAAAUGUUCCAAUUUUACAGAUGAGGAAAUGGAGGCUCAGAAGUUUCCCAGAGCUGCUCCAGCAAAGGAGAAGUAGAGCUGGAUUCCACAUAGGAUGAGUAGCCCUGGGCCAGGGCAUUGUAGCUGUGUGUUCUCUGGGUUUACCCAGGCUCGUCCCACACUAACAUGGCCUUCACGAGGCUAACUCUCUUCCAGAACAUUCUCCCCUAAUUUGAUUCAGACCCCACAUUGACCUCUAUGGUACCUUGUGCUAAUAACUUUAGGUUGGAUUUGUCUUGUUUUCAAUUCUGCCUUCCCUCAGGGCUGGUUCCCAACAUGGCCCGGGGCAAAAUACAGGUAGACAAAUUAUUAAAGAAAGAUUGAGUAGAAGUACAGCUGCUGCCUGUAGUCUCUCUCCACAGCCAGGGGAGUGAGCUCUCCGAAUCCUAGUUCCAGGCCUACUACAAAGGAGCAGAGGAGCCGGGGGCAGAUCCUGAGUUGUUCUCAUACCUUCAUGCCAGUCCAGGAGGGAGGCUUGUGUCUGUUUUCCCAGGAAGCCUCCGCUCCCUGCCCACAAAAUCCUCUCUCUCUGUCCACCUCCAUGAUCCCAAGGGCUGCCUGCCUGAAGCAGCCUCUCAGAAAAGAGCUGCUCCUGCCAUGGCUGGUCCCCAGAAGUCCUGGAGAACUGGUCAGGAAGAGUCUCUGGGUCCAGGCUAGGCCAAAGGGCCCAAGAUGAGCUCACACUACUGCUAAGAAUAGCCAGGCUUGAAGGGCAGCUCCACAGUUUACAAAGGCAUUCAUUCCAUCACAAUCAUCUCACAGAUCCUUGUAGAAAGCCCUGGCUCAGGGAAGCCAGGAAUGCUCAUCCCUGUUCCACAGAUGAAGAGCCUCAAAGACGUUCAGGGAAGAUGGUGGACCGUGCCCAAGCCCACCCAGAGGGGUCAAAGACCUCCAGGCAAGACACAGACCACUACCCUUAGGAUCCCUACCCUGAAUCAUGACUUAGGGAGUAUGUAAACUUGGCCAUCACCUCUCUCACUAAAAAUUACUAUUUCCUUCUAUUCUGAACCCAAGAAACAAACCAGGGUUGUUAGUAGCACCUGUGACUUUGCCACCAAAAGUAAUCACAGAUAUUUUUAUAUCCCGUAAU
Long non-coding RNA from Fukomys damarensis (Damara mole-rat), 2401 nucleotides. RefSeq lists it as uncharacterized. The transcript has 3 exons. NCBI's taxonomy places the organism in Eukaryota, Metazoa, Chordata, Mammalia, Rodentia, Bathyergidae. The record is from RefSeq and is a predicted model, not a curated record.